This 259-nucleotide ribosomal RNA is filed under the name uncultured bacterium. RNAcentral's name for it is "partial 16S ribosomal RNA". It matches the Rfam family "Bacterial small subunit ribosomal RNA", at positions 524 to 776 of the family's 1533-position model. The record is from RNAcentral.
UACGGAGGGGGUUAGCGUUGUUCGGAAUUACUGGGCGUAAAGCGCGCGUAGGCGGAUUGGAAAGUUGGGGGGUGAAAUCCCGGGGCUCAACCCCCGGAACUGCCUCCAAAAACUUCCAGUCUGGAGUUCGAGAGAGGUGAGUGGAAUUCCGAGUGUAGAGGUGAAAUUCGUAGAUAUUCGGAGGAACACCAGUGGCGAAAGGCGGCUCACUGGCUCGAUACUGACGCUGAGGUGCGAAAAGUGUGGGGAGCAAAACAGG